Molecule: unclassified non-coding RNA, 285 nt
Filed under: plant metagenome
Description: partial contains small subunit ribosomal RNA, internal transcribed spacer 1, and 5.8S ribosomal RNA
Rfam family: Eukaryotic small subunit ribosomal RNA (bases 1-54)
Source: RNAcentral
GGAAGGAAAAGUCGGAACAAGGUAUCCGUAGGUGAACCUGCGGAAGGAUCAUUAUUGUAUAACCGAGGUGCGAGGGCUGUCGCUGACCCGAAAGGUCGUGCACGCCCGAGUGCCCUCACACACAUCCAUCUCACCCCUAUGUGCACCACCGCGUGGGUCCCCCUUUGGCUUGUUCGGAGGGGGGCUUACGUUUUCACACAAACUUUGUAUGCAGUGUAGAAUGUAUUUUUUGUUUUUGCGAUCACGCAAUCAAUACAACUUUCAACAACGGAUCUCUUGGCUCUC